This 74-nucleotide transfer RNA is filed under the name Bacteroidales bacterium. Its description in RNAcentral is "tRNA-Trp". It matches the Rfam family "tRNA". From Rfam's summary of the family: Transfer RNA (tRNA) molecules are approximately 80 nucleotides in length. Their secondary structure includes four short double-helical elements and three loops (D, anti-codon, and T loops). The record is from RNAcentral. Lineage: Bacteria; Pseudomonadati; Bacteroidota; Bacteroidia; Bacteroidales.
AGGAGCAUAGUUCAAAGGUAGAAUAGCGGUCUCCAAAACCGUUGAUGUGAGUUCGAGUCUUACUGCUCCUGCCA